This 252-nucleotide ribosomal RNA is filed under the name uncultured bacterium. RNAcentral describes it as "partial 16S ribosomal RNA". It matches the Rfam family "Bacterial small subunit ribosomal RNA", at positions 524 to 776 of the family's 1533-position model. The record is from RNAcentral.
UACGUAGGGUGCGAGCGUUGUCCGGAAUUAUUGGGCGUAAAGAGCUCGUAGGUGGCGGGUCACGUCGGGUGUGAAAGCCCGGGGCUUAACUCCGGGUCUGCAUUCGAUACGGGUCUGCUGGGGUCCGGCAGGGGAGACUGGAAUUCCUGGUGUGCGGUGAAAUGCGUAGAUAUCUGGAGGAACACCGGUGGCGAAGGCGGCAUCCUGGACCGGCAUUGACGCUGAGGAGCGAAAGCCAGGGGAGCAAACGGG